RNAcentral lists this transfer RNA (86 nucleotides) under Flexilinea flocculi. It matches the Rfam family "tRNA". Rfam says of the family: Transfer RNA (tRNA) molecules are approximately 80 nucleotides in length. Their secondary structure includes four short double-helical elements and three loops (D, anti-codon, and T loops). RNAcentral also lists the same sequence under 2 other names. Lineage: Bacteria; Bacillati; Chloroflexota; Anaerolineae; Anaerolineales; Anaerolineaceae. The record is from Rfam by way of RNAcentral.
GGAGAGAUGGCCGAGUGGUUUAAGGCGCCUGUCUUGAAAACAGGUAUGGGGAAAUCUCAUCGUGGGUUCGAAUCCCUCUCUCUCCG